GCUAUUCAAGUGAUUGAUGAGCUCUUUCUUUAUCAGCCGCCUGUUUGGCGAUCGAUUGACUAUGAAUUGACGAGUUCAAAUGCUCGGAGCGUAUCUUCGAAAAGGUUAAAGGAACUUCUUGGUCGCACAUUCAGCCGGUUGAAAAGAACACGAAGAGGGUGAAAGAGAGAAAGGCACAAGGAACAGGUCUCGAGUGAACCUCGGCUUUACGAUCCUGCAAGCACGACUCGAAUUCGUGACUCUGGCCGCGGCAUCGAAAUCGAUCUAUCAUACGAUCUUUCCUCGAUCCUGUGCCGGCGAGCUUUCGCGGCG
Osmia lignaria (orchard mason bee) is the source of this 312-nucleotide long non-coding RNA. RefSeq lists it as uncharacterized. Lineage: Eukaryota; Metazoa; Arthropoda; Insecta; Hymenoptera; Megachilidae. The record is from RefSeq and is a predicted model, not a curated record.